GUCCAUGCCGUAAACGUUGGGCACUAGGUGUGGGGUCCAUUCCACUGAUUCCGCGCCGUAGCAAACGCAUUAAGUGCCCCGCCUGGGGAGUACGGCCGCAAGGCUAAAACUCAAAGGAAUUGACGGGGGCCCCGCACAAGCGGCGGAGCAUGCGGAUUAAUUCGAUGCAACGCGAAGAACCUUACCAAGGCUUGACAUACUUGAGAAGCCACCAGAGAUGGUGGUCUCUUUGGACACUCAUGUACAGGUGGUGCAUGGUUGUCGU
This 265-nucleotide ribosomal RNA is filed under the name uncultured bacterium. RNAcentral's name for it is "partial 16S ribosomal RNA". It matches the Rfam family "Bacterial small subunit ribosomal RNA", at positions 793 to 1055 of the family's 1533-position model. The record is from RNAcentral.